UUAAGACAGGACUUAAUUGUUGGAAUUUCUCAACCUGAGGGUAAACUUAGUACAACGAACAAUAUGUUAAAAUGAAAACACCGUCCACUUACUUCCUGCUUUUACCCCAUUUUUUUCUUGUUUUUUUUUCUCGUGUUUCCUUCUUCCUUUUCCACGUGUGUAUUUGUAGAAGAUUGUAAACAUCAGGUGAUGUUUAUGUAAAAAGGAGAACUCGGCAGCAAUACGGAACAUAGUGUCCAAAAUUGCUAUAAAUUUGGAACUUUCUACUUUUCUCAUUAUAAAUCCGUCACACCCUAUUUGUGAAUAAAAUGGAUAUUUAUUCACUAAACUAGAAAUUCUGGGUAAUUUAAAAUGGAAUUGCCAAUUUUAGGAAU
This is a non-coding RNA of Pelobates cultripes (western spadefoot toad), 374 nucleotides long. Lineage: Eukaryota; Metazoa; Chordata; Amphibia; Anura; Pelobatidae. The record is from the annotation of a GenBank genome assembly.